GAUGAACGCUGGCGGCGUGCCUAAUACAUGCAAGUCGAGCGAACAGACGAGGAGCUUGCUCCUCUGACGUUAGCGGCGGACGGGUGAGUAACACGUGGAUAACCUACCUAUAAGACUGGGAUAACUUCGGGAAACCGGAGCUAAUACCGGAUAAUAUAUUGAACCGCAUGGUUCAAUAGUGAAAGACGGCUUUGCCGUCUGUUAUAGAUGGAUCCGCGCCGCAUUAGCUAGUUGGUAAGGUAACGGCUUACCAAGGCAACGAUGCGUAGCCGACCUGAGAGGGUGAUCGGCCACACUGGAACUGAGACACGGUCCAGACUCCUACGGGAGGCAGCAGUAGGGAAUCUUGCGCAAUGGGCGCAAGCCUGACGGAGCAACGCCGCGUGAGUGAUGAAGGUCUUCGGAUCGUAAAGCUCUGUUAUUAGGAAAGAACAAAUGUGUAAGUAACUAUGCACGUCUUGACGGUACCUAAUCAGAAAGCCCCGGCUAACUACGUG
RNAcentral lists this ribosomal RNA (497 nucleotides) under uncultured bacterium. Its description in RNAcentral is "partial 16S ribosomal RNA". It matches the Rfam family "Bacterial small subunit ribosomal RNA", at positions 28 to 507 of the family's 1533-position model. The record is from RNAcentral.